UGGGCGGCGACUGGGGUGGCGGUGAUGUAUCCUAACUUGAUGCAUUUAGGCAAGAGUCGUUAUUAACUCUUAGAUUUGUUCGUGGGAUGAACGGCUUGUUAUUUUACGCCCGAUCCCCCUUUGGAUGCCAGAGUCUGGGGGCCAAUAGGAGUCCUUACCAUCAGAUUAGGGGCAUCGUCCGAACAGGAGGGGUUCAAUCGGUUGGCUUGAAUUGGUCAGUCUGC
RNAcentral lists this long non-coding RNA (224 nucleotides) under Elaeis guineensis (African oil palm). RNAcentral describes it as "long non-coding RNA (EGUI_LNC035364)". Lineage: Eukaryota; Viridiplantae; Streptophyta; Magnoliopsida; Arecales; Arecaceae. The record is from RNAcentral.